This 462-nucleotide ribosomal RNA is filed under the name uncultured bacterium. Its description in RNAcentral is "partial 16S ribosomal RNA". It matches the Rfam family "Bacterial small subunit ribosomal RNA", at positions 28 to 507 of the family's 1533-position model. The record is from RNAcentral.
GACGAACGCUGGCGGCGUGCUUAACACAUGCAAGUCGAGCGGAAAGGCCCUUCGGGGUACUCGAGCGGCGAACGGGUGAGUAACACGUGAGUAACCUGCCCCAGACUUUGGGAUAACCCUCGGAAACGGGGGCUAAUACCGGAUACGACACAGCUUCGCAUGGGGUCUGUGUGGAAAGUUUUUCGGUUUGGGAUGGGCUCGCGGCCUAUCAGCUUGUUGGUGGGGUGAUGGCCUACCAAGGCGACGACGGGUAGCCGGCCUGAGAGGGCGACCGGCCACACUGGGACUGAGACACGGCCCAGACUCCUACGGGAGGCAGCAGUGGGGAAUAUUGCACAAUGGGCGGAAGCCUGAUGCAGCGACGCCGCGUGCGGGAUGACGGCCUUCGGGUUGUAAACCUCUUUCAGCAGGGACGAAGCGUAAGUGACGGUACCUGCAGAAGAAGCGCCGGCCAACUACGUG